Molecule: ribosomal RNA, 1436 nt
Filed under: bacterium
Lineage: Bacteria
Description: bacterial SSU rRNA
Rfam family: Bacterial small subunit ribosomal RNA
Source: RNAcentral
CGGGGUGCUAUAAUGCAGUAGAACGCUGAAGAGAGGAGCUUGCUCUUCUUGGAUGAGUUGCGAACGGGUGAGUAACGCGUAGGUAACCUGCCUUGUAGCGGGGGAUAACUAUUGGAAACGAUAGCUAAUACCGCAUAACAAUGGAUGACACAUGUCAUUUAUUUGAAAGGGGCAAUUGCUCCACUACAAGAUGGACCUGCGUUGUAUUAGCUAGUAGGUGAGGUAAUGGCUCACCUAGGCGACGAUACAUAGCCGACCUGAGAGGGUGAUCGGCCACACUGGGACUGAGACACGGCCCAGACUCCUACGGGAGGCAGCAGUAGGGAAUCUUCGGCAAUGGGGGCAACCCUGACCGAGCAACGCCGCGUGAGUGAAGAAGGUUUUCGGAUCGUAAAGCUCUGUUGUAAGUCAAGAACGGGUGUGAGAGUGGAAAGUUCACACUGUGACGGUAGCUUACCAGAAAGGGACGGCUAACUACGUGCCAGCAGCCGCGGUAAUACGUAGGUCCCGAGCGUUGUCCGGGAUUUAUUGGGCGUAAAGCGAGCGCAGGCGGUUUGAUAAGUCUGAAGUUAAAGGCUGUGGCUCAACCAUAGUUCGCUUUGGAAACUGUCAAACUUGAGUGCAGAAGGGGAGAGUGGAAUUCCAUGUGUAGCGGUGAAAUGCGUAGAUAUAUGGAGGAACACCGGUGGCGAAAGCGGCUCUCUGGUCUGUAACUGACGCUGAGGCUCGAAAGCGUGGGGAGCGAACAGGAUUAGAUACCCUGGUAGUCCACGCCGUAAACGAUGAGUGCUAGGUGUUGGAUCCUUUCCGGGAUUCAGUGCCGCAGCUAACGCAUUAAGCACUCCGCCUGGGGAGUACGACCGCAAGGUUGAAACUCAAAGGAAUUGACGGGGGCCCGCACAAGCGGUGGAGCAUGUGGUUUAAUUCGAAGCAACGCGAAGAACCUUACCAGGUCUUGACAUCCCGAUGCUAUUUCUAGAGAUAGAAAGUUACUUCGGUACAUCGGUGACAGGUGGUGCAUGGUUGUCGUCAGCUCGUGUCGUGAGAUGUUGGGUUAAGUCCCGCAACGAGCGCAACCCCUAUUGUUAGUUGCCAUCAUUCAGUUGGGCACUCUAGCGAGACUGCCGGUAAUAAACCGGAGGAAGGUGGGGAUGACGUCAAAUCAUCAUGCCCCUUAUGACCUGGGCUACACACGUGCUACAAUGGUUGGUACAACGAGUUGCGAGUCGGUGACGGCGAGCUAAUCUCUUAAAGCCAAUCUCAGUUCGGAUUGUAGGCUGCAACUCGCCUACAUGAAGUCGGAAUCGCUAGUAAUCGCGGAUCAGCACGCCGCGGUGAAUACGUUCCCGGGCCUUGUACACACCGCCCGUCACACCACGAGAGUUUGUAACACCCGAAGUCGGUGAGGUAACCUUUGGAGCCAGCCGCCUAAGUGA